UUCCUUAUUUACUGGAUGAUGUUGCUGCUAAAAAGCAGUAGAAAGCCUCCAGAAUAACAGAGGUUUAUGUGUUGGGGCUUAAAGCUCUAAAAUCUAUCCAGCUGUGGUUUUGGUCUUCAUAACAUCCAGUGAUAUGAGAGGAGGAACAGGUGGAGGGAGGAGCAACACUGUCAAAGAGCAGAACAGAAAAGGACUCCCACUGUCACAUCCAUCCAAUAUCUAAACCGUACAUAACAGAGACUGUGUGGAAGAUGCUGUCACUGCAUCACUGGCUCAUGUUUCCUUUGUUUGUGAUCACACUAAAAGGAGUCAGCUGUCAACAACUCACUGCAGACAAGACUGAAGAGUCCAGUUUAGAAGGAACCACUGUUACUCUGUCCUACAGAUACUCCAACACUAUAUCUGCUGGUGAUGAUUUCUUCUGGUAUCAACAAUAUCCACAAAAACCUCCAGAGUUCCUCCUGUACAUCUCAGGACUUAACACAUCAAGACCAUCAGAGUCUCUGGAAUCAGCCUCAAGGUUCUCCACUAAACUGUCUGGAGAAAAACAUCUGGAUCUGGAGAUCUCCUCUGCUGCAGUGACAGACUCUGCUGUGUACUACUGUGCUAUGAGG
This is a non-coding RNA of Mugil cephalus (flathead mullet), 614 nucleotides long. The record is from the annotation of a RefSeq genome assembly. NCBI's taxonomy places the organism in Eukaryota, Metazoa, Chordata, Actinopteri, Mugiliformes, Mugilidae.